This 1073-nucleotide long non-coding RNA is filed under the name Carassius auratus (goldfish). RNAcentral describes it as "lncRNA (ENSCARG00000012518.1)". The record is from RNAcentral. Lineage: Eukaryota; Metazoa; Chordata; Actinopteri; Cypriniformes; Cyprinidae.
AUGAGCAAGUAUUUAUGUUAUGUUCACUCUCCAUUCUGCUAUUCAAACCUCCACACACAAGCCAAAAAAUCUGCUAAAUAUUUACUUGCACUCCAGGUUAUUGAUGACCUGAUGGCUUUUAUCCCUCUUCCAAGAAUGCAGGUUAUCACAUGGUACCCCGAUCUCACUCGGCUCCAGCUGAUCACCAGCUGCUUCUUUAUACACUGUAAGAUUCAUCUCCAAACUAUUCUUUUUUUAUUUUUCUUAAUCUGUUUCAAAGGACUGUGAUUUUACAGCAAGAACUUUUGAAGUGAUUUGAUAGUAGAAGAAGAAAAAAAAACACUAAUUAACAAACAAACUCUACUGUCCACUAUUAUUACAUGAAAUGCAAAAUGUUUUAUUCAGGUUUUGCUCUUUCAGCUCUCUUGCUAGGAUCUGUCAAUCCAUUAAACUGUUCAGAACCAACAACUAAAUCACUUCUUACUGCCAUGAAAGAGGAAGUCAUCCUCUACAGCGAUGCAAGGCCAGUUAUAAGUCUGAGCACUCCCACCAACGUCACCGUGGACUUGACUCUCUAUGGGAUCUUAGGAGUGGUAAGCAAAUUUGACUUAAAAUUUACAAAACCAUGACAUUUUUAUAGUACUAACCCACUUAAUAUUAUAGAAAUGGUUACAAGUUACCAUACUGUAUCUUCCCUUUCAGAAUGAAAAAUCACAGGUGUUGGAAACAUAUCUGUGGGUGAGGAUGGUAAGACUCAACAAAAACACUGUUUAGACAAGGGGAGUGUAAUAUUGACAAAAAAAAAUAAUAAAUUUUGAAUUUUGAAUUGUCUAAAAAUAGCAAAAACUACGACUUUAUUCAGCAUUGUCUUCUCUUCUGUGUCUGUUGUGAGAGAGUUCAAAACAAAGCACUUUGUGAUCCGGUUCAUGAACGAAUCAUUCGAUGUAACUGGAUCUUCUUGAACCAGUUCACCAAAUCGAACUGAAUCGUUUGAAACAGUUCGCGUCUCCAAUACGCAUUAAUCCACAAAUUUUUAAUGUGGCUGACACUCCCUCUGAGUUCAAACAAACCAAUAUAAAGUCAUUGACAUACCC